This 443-nucleotide ribosomal RNA is filed under the name uncultured Pseudomonadota bacterium. Its description in RNAcentral is "bacterial SSU rRNA". It matches the Rfam family "Bacterial small subunit ribosomal RNA", at positions 338 to 795 of the family's 1533-position model. The record is from RNAcentral. Lineage: Bacteria; Pseudomonadati; Pseudomonadota.
CCUACGGGGGGCUGCAGUGGGGAAUAUUGGUCAAUGGGCGAAAGCCUGAACCAGCAAUACCGCGUGAGUGAUGAAGGCCUUCGGGUUGUAAAGCUCUGUCAGUGGGAACGAAAAAAAUGACGGUACCCACAAAGGAAGCACCGGCUAACUCUGUGCCAGCAGCCGCGGUAAUACAGAGGGUGCAAGCGUUGUUCGAAAUUACUGGGCGUAAAGAGCGUGUAGGCGGUUAGAUAAGUCAGACGUGAAAUCCCUUGGCUCAACCAAGGAACUGCGUUUGAAACUGUUUGACUAGAGUAUCGGAGGGGAUGGCGGAAUUCCUGGUGUAGAGGUGAAAUUCGUAGAUAUCAGGAGGAACACCCGUGGCGAAGGCGGCCAUCUGGAAGAUUACUGACGCUGAGACGCGAAAGCGUGGGGAGCAAACAGGAUUAGAUACCCCAGUAGUC